This 374-nucleotide long non-coding RNA is filed under the name Homo sapiens (human). RNAcentral describes it as "LHRI_LNC490.1". The record is from RNAcentral. Lineage: Eukaryota; Metazoa; Chordata; Mammalia; Primates; Hominidae.
ACGCUGCCUCCCAAUGGCCUGGACGGGAUGUUUCCAAGCUCUUGUUCUCCUAACGUCUCGACAGGCGCUCACUGAAGUGUAUGAAUAUUUUUUAAAAAGGUUUUUGCAGUAAGCUAGUCUUCCUCUCUGCUUUCUCGAAAGCUUACUGAGCCCUGGGCCCCAAGCACGGGCCGGGCAUAGAUUUCCUCUUCCACACGCUGCCGCUUUUCUGGGCACCUUGAAGCAUCAGGGCGCGAAAUCAAACUAGAUGUGGGCAGGGAGAGUGUUGCUUACCUGCCCUGCUGGGGCAGGGUUUCCUGAAACUGGGUUAAUUCUUUAUAGAAAUGUGAACACUGAAUUUAUUUUAAAAAAUAAUAAUAAUAAUUAAAAAUAAU